UGGGGAAUAUUGGACAAUGGACCAAAAGUCUGAUCCAGCAAUUCUGUGUGCGCGAUGGCGGUCUUAGGAUUGUAAAGUGCUUUCAAUCGGGAAAAAGAAAGUGAUGGUACUGAUAAAAGAAGCGACGGCUAAAUACGUGCCAGCAGCCACGGUAAUACGUAUGUCGCAAGCGUUAUCCGGAUUUAUUGGGCGUAAAGCGCGUCUAGGCGGUCUGGUAAGUCUGAUGUGGAAAUGCGGGGCUCAACUCCGUAUUGCGUUGGAAACUGCCAGACUAGAGUACUGGAGAGGUGGGCGGAACUACAAGUGUAGAGGGAAAUUCGGUAGAUAUUUGUAGGAAAUGCCGAUAGAGAAGUCAGCUCCCUGGACAGAUACUGACGCUGAAGCGCGAAAGCAUGGGGAGCUUACAG
This 407-nucleotide ribosomal RNA is filed under the name uncultured bacterium. RNAcentral's name for it is "bacterial SSU rRNA". It matches the Rfam family "Bacterial small subunit ribosomal RNA", at positions 355 to 775 of the family's 1533-position model. The record is from RNAcentral.